UACAGAGGUCCCGAGCGUUGUUCGGAUUCACUGGGCGUAAAGGGUGCGUAGGCGGUUCGGUAAGUCCGCUGUGAAAGUCGGGGGCUCAACCCUCGAAUGCCGGUGGAUACUGUCGGGCUAGAGUGCGGAAGAGGCGAGUGGAAUUCCUGGUGUAGCGGUGAAAUGCGCAGAUAUCAGGAGGAACACCAAUUGCGAAGGCAGCUCGCUGGGACGUUACUGACGCUGAGACGCGAAAGCGUGGGGAGCAAACAGG
This 253-nucleotide ribosomal RNA is filed under the name uncultured bacterium. RNAcentral's name for it is "partial 16S ribosomal RNA". It matches the Rfam family "Bacterial small subunit ribosomal RNA", at positions 524 to 776 of the family's 1533-position model. The record is from RNAcentral.